Molecule: ribosomal RNA, 528 nt
Filed under: uncultured bacterium
Lineage: Bacteria
Description: bacterial SSU rRNA
Rfam family: Bacterial small subunit ribosomal RNA
Source: RNAcentral
UGGGGAAUAUUGGACAAUGGCGCAAGCCUGAUCCAGCAACGCCGCGUGGAGGAUGAAGGUCUUCGGAUCGUAAACUCCUGUCAGGCGGGACGAAGGGACGUCGGCAAAUAGUCGACGUCUUUGACGGUACCGCCAGAGGAAGCCCCGGCUAACUCCGUGCCAGCAGCCGCGGUAAUACGGAGGGGGCGAGCGUUAUUCGGAAUUAUUGGGCGUAAAGGGCGCGUAGGCGGGCUGGGGGUAAGUCAAAGGUGAAAUCCCUCGGCUCAACUGAGGAACUGCCUUUGAAACUGUCCAGCUUGAGGCCGGAGGGGUGGCGGAAUUCCCAGUGUAGCGGUGAAAUGCGUAGAUAUUGGGAGGAACACCAGUGGCGAAGGCGGCCACCUGGACCGGUUCUGACGCUGAUGCGCGAAAGCGUGGGUAGCAAACAGGAUUAGAUACCCUGGUAGUCCACGCUGUAAACGAUGAGUGCUCGGUGUCGCGGGUAUCGACCCCUGCGGUGCCUUAGCUAACGCGUUAAGCACUCCGCCU